This 253-nucleotide ribosomal RNA is filed under the name uncultured bacterium. Its description in RNAcentral is "partial 16S ribosomal RNA". It matches the Rfam family "Bacterial small subunit ribosomal RNA", at positions 524 to 776 of the family's 1533-position model. The record is from RNAcentral.
UACGUAGGGUGCAAGCGUUGUCCGGAAUUACUGGGCGUAAAGAGCUCGUAGGCGGUUUGUUGCGUCGGCUGUGAAAUCCCGAGGCUCAACCUCGGGUCUGCAGUCGAUACGAGCAAACUAGAGUGUUGCAGGGGAGACUGGAAUUCCUGGUGUAGCGGUGAAAUGCGCAGAUAUCAGGAAGAACACCGGUGGCGAAGGCGCUCUGCUAGGCCGCAACUGACACUGAGGGACGAAAGCUAGGGGAGCGAAUGGG